Molecule: ribosomal RNA, 362 nt
Filed under: uncultured prokaryote
Description: partial 16S ribosomal RNA
Source: RNAcentral
UUCUCAGUAACAGAUACAAACUCAUCACGAACGUCAGAAGCAGCCUUAUGGCCGUCAACAUACAUAUCACCAUUAUCGAACUCAACGCCCUGCAUACGAAAAGACAGAAUCUCUUCCAAGAGCUUGAUGCGGUUAUCCAUCUGCUUAUGGAAGCCAAGCAUUGGGGAUUGAGAAAGAGUAGAAAUGCCACAAGCCUCAAUAGCAGGUUUAAGAGCCUCGAUACGCUCAAAGUCAAAAUAAUCAGCGUGACAUUCAGAAGGGUAAUAAGAACGAACCAUAAAAAAGCCUCCAAGAUUUGGAGGCAUGAAAACAUACAAUUGGGAGGGUGUCAAUCCUGACGGUUAUUUCCUAGACAAAUUAGA